RNAcentral lists this ribosomal RNA (225 nucleotides) under Escherichia coli N40607. RNAcentral describes it as "partial 23S ribosomal RNA". It matches the Rfam family "Bacterial large subunit ribosomal RNA", at positions 1065 to 1289 of the family's 2925-position model. Lineage: Bacteria; Pseudomonadati; Pseudomonadota; Gammaproteobacteria; Enterobacterales; Enterobacteriaceae. The record is from RNAcentral.
GGGAAACGAUGUGGGAAGGCCCAGACAGCCAGGAUGUUGGCUUAGAAGCAGCCAUCAUUUAAAGAAAGCGUAAUAGCUCACUGGUCGAGUCGGCCUGCGCGGAAGAUGUAACGGGGCUAAACCAUGCACCGAAGCUGCGGCAGCGACACUAUGUGUUGUUGGGUAGGGGAGCGUUCUGUAAGCCUGUGAAGGUGUACUGUGAGGUAUGCUGGAGGUAUCAGAAGU